UGGGGAAUAUUGGACAAUGGGCGCAAGCCUGAUCCAGCCAUGCCGCGUGAGUGAUGAAGGCCCUAGGGUUGUAAAGCUCUGUCAGAUUGGGAAGAAAACUUCGGGGUUAAUACCCCCGAAGCUUGACGGUACCAUCAGAGGAAGCACCGGCUAACUCCGUGCCAGCAGCCGCGGUAAUACGGAGGGUGCAAGCAUUGUUCGGAUUCACUGGGUAUAAAGGGUGCGUAGGCGGCGCGAUAAGUCAGGGGUGAAAUAUGUCGGCUCAACCGACAAACUGCCUCUGAAACUGCCGCGCUUGAGGUCGGGAGAGGAAGGUGGAAUUCCAGGUGUAGCGGUGAAAUGCGUAAAUAUCUGGAGGAACACCAAUGGCGAAGGCAGCCUUCUGGCCCGAUUCUGACGCUGAGGCAGGAAGGCGAGUGGAGCAAACG
This 428-nucleotide ribosomal RNA is filed under the name uncultured prokaryote. RNAcentral's name for it is "bacterial SSU rRNA". It matches the Rfam family "Bacterial small subunit ribosomal RNA", at positions 355 to 774 of the family's 1533-position model. The record is from RNAcentral.